CAUUUCGUUAUAAAUCAUCUCCCAGAAUGUCUUAAUCCUUGGGCAUGUCCACCAAAGGUGAAAGAAUGUGCCUUCAGUCUCGUUACAUUUCCAACAUUUAUUAUCGGGCAAAUGGUAGAUUUUUGCAAGCUUGACUGGUGUCAUGUACCACCUAUAAAUCAUUUUCAUUCAGUUUUCUCUUAGGGCAUUACAUGCCGUAAAUUUCAUACCUGUGGUCCAUAACUGUUCCCAGUCAGCCAUCAUUAUGUUAUGUCCAACAUCUUGUGCCCAUUUAAUCAUUGCUGAUUUCACCGUUUCAUCCUGAGUAUUCCAUUUCAACAGCAAGUUACACAUUUUUGACAAAUUCUUAAUUUUGGAGUCUAACAAUUCUGUUUCCAAUUUUGAUUUUUCCACCUGGAAACCAACUUUUUUGUCCAAAUUGUAUGCCUCCAUUAUUUGAUAAUAAUGGAGCCAAUCUCGCACUUUAUUUUUCAAUUUUUCAAAGCUCUGCAAUUUUAUUCUGUCUCCACCUUGAUCCAGAAUUUCCCAAUAUUUCGGCCAUUUGGCCUCCAUAUUGAGUUUUUUCUGUGCCUUCGCUUCCAUUGGAGACAACCAUCUUGGGGUUCUCUUUUCUAACAAAUCUUUAUAUCUUAUCCAAACAUUGAACAGUGCUUUUCUAACAAUAUGAUUUUUGAACGCUUUAUGUGCUUUUACCUUAUCGUACCACAAAUAUGCAUGCCAACCAAAUACGUUAUUGAAACCUUCUAAAUCCAACACGUCAGUGUUUUCAAGAAGCAGCCAUUCUCUCAGCCAGCAAAAAGCUGCUGAUUCAUAAUAAAGUUUGAGGUCUGGCAGGGCAAAUCCACCUUUUUCUUUAGGAUCAGUUAAUAUCUUAAAUUUUAUUCGAGGCUUCUUGCCCUGCCAAACAAAUCUGGAAAUAUCUUUCUGCCACUUCUUGAAACAAUCCAUCUUGUCCAAAAUUUGUAGUGUUUGAAACAGAAACAACAUCCUUGGCAGCACAUUCAUUUUUAUCACAGCAAUUCGGCCUAACAAUGAUAACUUCAAAUUUGACCAUAUUUCUAAAUCCUUUUUCACUUCUAUCCAACAUUUUUCAUAAUUAUCCUUAAAUAGAUUCACAUUUUUGGCAGUCAUGUUAACCCCUAAAUAUUUAAGAACAACUGGGUUUAAACCAAAUGUUGGAAGAUCAAUAACGGUAUAGCAGUACAAGUCUCCAUGGGGAGUGAUUUGGCUCCUAGAAGCUGUCAACAUGUUACAGCAGCUACACCCCAGGAAACAGCUUCAAUUGGCCAACUAAACCAGGUGAUGGUUCUCAAAUCCUCAAUCUGCCACAGACUUCCCCUCCAUGCGAAGGCAGGCUCUGGCAGAUUGAGGAGUUGAGAUCAAUAGUGGGUCCAUUGUUCAGAAGGUGGUUUCUGCACGUGCUGUAGAUGAAAAUGAGCGGCAGAUGGAGCUUGCCAGUCUGGGAAGCUAGCCCUUCUAGGAGAAGGAAAACUCUGAUCCUAAACCUCCUCUGCCUUGUGGCUAUAUUCAUUUGUGAGAAAGGCUUCAGGAGUAAACUCCUGCAACUUCUGCAGCCAAGCUGGCAUCAAAUGUUUUGACCUUCUUUCCUUUGGACCACAUUAGCUGGCCGAGAGGGGGGGGGGUCUUGUCAUCUGGGCAGCCCAUGACCUUCUUACACUGCCCAGGCUUGCACCCUGGAGAGGUCACUUAAGUGUUGCUAAAGCACCAAAAACAAUGCGGGAGGCAGCAAUUAUGAGUUACUGGUCUGUGCAGCCACAGCAGGUGCUGUGAUUCUGCAGUUGUUUGACUUCACCCCCACCCCACCCCCAGUGGCACGCUCCAUGAGCCUAAAUUUCGAGUGGGACCCAGCAGCUCACCACUCCAUUCACAGGGCUUAAGAGCCUGUAAAAGGAAAGGUGCCCCAACAGGCACCUAAGUCAUUGAGGGAUUUAGAAGUCAAAACUAAUACCUUAAGUUGGACAGUGUAGUUGGAUAGGCAGGUAAUGUAGCUUCCAUAGAAUUGGUGUUACAAGGCAGCAUGUUAGCACUCUACCAGCAGCAUUUUGCACUAGCUGCAUUUUCCAGACUAUAUUCAAGGGAAAUGCUGCAAAGACUGCAUUGCAGCAGUCAAGUUACGAGCUUACUGAGACAUGUGAUGCAAAAGCAAACCAGGUGCCCCUCCCCAUGGGAAAAAGAAGAUAAAAACAGGGACCUUUGGGACACAGUAGAGGCAUCUGAGAUAAUCUCAGAGGUUGAAAUGGUGCCAGGCAGCUGAGGAACAUUACUUUCCUCAUUCUUCUUUUAGUUUCCAUAGUGCAAAGUAAGUGUAAUAGCUCAGUUUUCUGGGCAUAUGUGUUAGGGGUUUACAGUAGGAACCUACCAUUUCCCAUUGUGGGAGUUUAUGUCAGUUAGCAGAGAGAAAGAGUGUAACUUCCUCACACUCCCAUUUUUCCCCACUGUCAGCAGACCCGCCUCUCUGACCCAACAUCUCUAGACAAUGGUGGGCCCUCUGCUGGAUCUCGGUAGGUGACCCAAUCAUGGAACCAUAUUACUCAAGGUCUGAUGUAAUCUUAAUUGAAUCUUUGCAAUUAUUUAUCAGUAUUAUAAUAUAAAACGUUCUCUCUAUUGUGUGGUAUUGACGUAUGAAUUGGCUGUUCUUAUGCCAUACAUAGAUUUUUAUUCUGUAUAUGUGGUUUAUUCAAACUGAGUUCUCUGAAAAGAACACUAGCACACAGCAGAUUGUUUAACAUAAUAAACCACUAUAAUGAUGGCAUUUUACAAGCUUAUAUAGCCAGUGUAAACUUGCAGCUAACUUAGCAUUGAGAUAAGUACAUCAUGCCCUGAAUUGUUGUUAAGAGAGGCUGUUGUCCGCAUGUGUGCACAGUUAAAUAAGCUAUGUAAUGUAUUGUCUCAACCCUGAGAUUUUGCACCCAAGGAAGCUUAUAUUUUAUUGUUGAAGAAAAAAGUAUAGCAAAUUAUUGUAUGUAUAAAAUAAUAGAAAUUAUUGAAACUGCUUAGCUGCUAAGGUUAUCCCAGCACACUAUUUCACAUCACUAGACUUGAUAAAUUUUAAUCAACACCUUUGGGAACGUGUUUUCAGUAUCUAAAUGUUUUCUUAUUUCUUUUGGAUAUAUAUGUAGUGCAUCUGAAAUUUGGAUCAAUAAACUUCAUUCUUGUAUUACCCUGUUGUUGUUGUUGUUGUUGUUUUUGCUUCUGCUUCCAGUUCCUUUUUGGAGUAACAAUUUGUUUGUUGCAUGUUGUGAAGAGGUAACAGCUUAAUUCUAAAGCCUCAUUUCAAGAUGACAGUGAUAAUUUAUUAAACUUGUUAGUUGUUUGUUAUACAAAAGGUCUCCAAGUGACUACAACAUAUUUCAAGUGUGAGUAAAAAUGCAUCACAUUAAUACAUUUACACAAAAAUACAUUUACUGGAUGGGCAAGAGCAUCAUACCUGGUAGCAUUGCAUGUGCUCAGUAUCACUUUAUUCUGGUUUUUCAAUAUAUGUAUAUUUUUCGCACACCAGCCAACUAUCUGCUUUUAAUAUUGAAGUUUGCCUUGCUAACAGUGUACACAUGGGCAUAGAGAUCCAGUAGAAGUAAGAUAUCAAAUAUAUUCUUUCCUAUUAAGCAUCACCAGGCCUUAGAGCAGCAGAAUUAGGUGAUCAGUUUCUUUAAAAGUGUAAGUGAAAGGGAUAUUCUUGCUUUUGGGGAAAAAAUUCCCUGGUGUUUGUUAAAAUUAAUCCUGCCUUCUAUUAAUAUAGAUUGUGUAAAAUGGAUGCUGCUACAUAAAUGCAAUUUGUUUCUGUAAAGCUGAUCUACCUUUACAGCAAAUGUAAUUGGUUUGAGAUAAAUUGCUGAUUUUUAAUUUUGUGGAUAAUGUGAAACCUGUUGUUAACAUAAAUAACUUUUUGGAGAGCAAUAUGUAAUCCUAAUGACUUGGUGAGCACCUGUCCCUUGAGUAGUUACUCCGUAACAAAUUCCCCAAAUUUUGCUUGCGUUCUGAGAUUAGAUUUUUUUUUUGUAUUUCACAUUAUACCCCACAUUCGUUCUCAGUUCUUUUUAGCAUGUAGCGCUGUUCAAACCGAAGGCUGCAUUCACGUGAUCAGCUCAAUUUAAGACCAUCUUGCUUGCAUGUUAUCAGUUAGCAGGCAUACAAGUGCCAUAGCUUGUAACAGUGCAGCUAAAAACCAACACCUACUCAUUAAAGGACACAGCUGUCAUGGGCUGUGGUUUUUGGCCCUCAAUUUCUUAAUGGUUAAAAACAAAGCAGAGGAGAUAUUUAAGGAAGAGACUGUCUCCAGCAACACUUGGUGGACAUGAGAAUUCUGAAGGCUCACAGAGGUCCAUCACCUGCACGGACUUACCCAUUUGCUUUAGGAAAGAAAUUUAUGUGAAUGGGAACUCCAUGUAACUAUUGGAACUUGCACAACACUCAGAACUGAGGACACUCCAAUACAGAAUAUUAUUUUUUCUUUCUUUUCCCUAGGGAGAAGUCAAAAAGUAAACCUGAGGGUUUUCUUUAGAAGGAGAUGUACCUUAUAAAAAUGUGUGUAAAAUUACCUGUUCACAAUCAUUGUGAUAUAGUGAAUAUGUUGUCAGGUUUUGAGUUGAGGUACUCUAUACUGCUGUUUAGACUUGCUUUCCAUCCCCGGUGAAAUCCUGGAUGCUUGCUUGACCUCACAGUGUUUACUUACAAAAGGAUAUAGUAAGUUAAACUUUUUCUUUAUAGAUGACGCUUGCAAUGUAGUUAUUAACCUGAGCUUGGCAUGUGCCUAGCUAGUAUAACUGGGAAGACAACUGGCCUAAUAGGAUAACUAUUAAUGUAGCUACAACCCAGAACUUAAUGCCACAGCAAAGGUAGCACAUUAGUCC
Molecule: non-coding RNA, 4868 nt
Organism: Podarcis lilfordi (Lilford's wall lizard)
Lineage: Eukaryota; Metazoa; Chordata; Lepidosauria; Squamata; Lacertidae
Source: the annotation of a GenBank genome assembly